AUGUCUCUUCACCAGCAUUACAAGUUUUUAGCAGAGUAUCAAAAGGGAACAUAAUUUGAUACUAUGCAAAACUUUGAACUUGUGGAAGUAACA
This 93-nucleotide microRNA precursor is filed under the name Caenorhabditis remanei. Its description in RNAcentral is "block2890". The record is from RNAcentral. Lineage: Eukaryota; Metazoa; Nematoda; Chromadorea; Rhabditida; Rhabditidae.